Molecule: small RNA, 2733 nt
Filed under: Pongo abelii (Sumatran orangutan)
Lineage: Eukaryota; Metazoa; Chordata; Mammalia; Primates; Hominidae
Description: retained intron
Source: RNAcentral
AUAUUAGCCGCGGUUAUUUGGUGAGCGCUGGUGGUUUAUUCUUCCGUGGAGUUAAGGGUUCCGUGGACAUCUCAAGUCUUCAGGGUCUUCCAUCUGGUGAGCCUUUGGCCCCUUGGGGCCCGCGGAAGCUUCGCCGCUCUCCCCUUGGGCGGGGGUCGUGAACGUCAAGACAGUCCCGGCCUGCAGUUGCCGCGGAGGAGCCGUGGGCACGAUGACUCUGCACCGCCUCCUCGGUGACGGACCGGCCGCCGGGAAUGGCCCCCGCCGGCCGCCGUCGGGGGCUUCCCAGUGCCAAGCCUGGACGCCGGGGCCCGCGAGGGGGCGGGCUGAGGGUGGGGGGUCUGUGGGCAGGACCGAGGAGUUGGGGCGGCUUCCGUCCUGGAGAGUUCGGUACGUGAAAGUUAGCUCUCCCGGAGGUGCCGGUGAACUCAAAAUCGUGCUGUGUCCGGCGUCAGGCGUGGAGACAACAGAAAGUUGUGCUUACGCUCGAAUCAGAAAUCCUCGGCGAGUCUGUGUCCUCCCUGCUUUUCUGCUCUGUGCCGUCCUUACUUUGCACCUUCCUAUUGCAAUUACUUCAACCAGUUCGCUGCCCUCGGUCUCUCACCAGCCAGAGUGAUCAUUUAAAAUGCCAAUCAGUUCCUAUGGGCCUUGGGAAUCAUUCAGAGGAGCCCCAUUGGCUGAGAGAUAAAAUUCUGUUUUUACCUGGGCACGCGGGCUCUCCAGAAUUUGAUUCCAGCUUACCUUUCCAGUCUUGAUUCCCUAUAUUCCAGUAUUUGGAAAUGUGGGUUUUGGACUGAGGCUUUACCAAAUAACGCUGAGCACCCAGUAUUGCCUUUUGCACGAAUGGUACUGAUGGUGCCCAAGAUAACUGCCUCCACCCCCAAGUUCAGGACCCAGAUCACUCUCUGGAGAAGGCCUCAGCCUCUUGACAUGGCUUUCAAGGCUCUGCGUGAUUUGGAUACUCGCUUAGCUCUUAUUUAUAUAUUUUUAAAAACAUCAGCAGUUUGUCUCAUGCGCACUAAGCUAUCCUGCCUCAGUACCCUUUGUUCAUACUUUAUGCUCUGUCUGGAAUGCCCUUCCCUUCUUUCUUCCUCUGUUCUUUCUCUUAGACCCAAGGGUUCUCAGCCUUAUUUCUGCCUCUCCCGUCUCUGAUUUACUUUCAUUUUCUGUAUCGGUUUCUCAAAAAAUACUUUCUUGAUUUUUUCAUCAUCCCUUUUCCCACCCUACCCCCGGUUCCUCUUUCCACAUUAUAAUCUAUGACUGCUUCUCUCACCUAACUGCCAGUAUUAGCUUUUCAGGACAGGAACUGGUUUUACACAUUUUGGUAUUCCAGCAUCUAGCAUAAUGCCUGACACUUAGCUGAAUAAAGGGAGUAAAUAGAUUUGUAAAGUCAGCAAAUGCUUUUUAAUUUGUGAAUCUUAUUUUAAUGAUGAUCUGAUUUUCUUUUUACAGGAACUAUAUAAAGUUCAGAAAACAUGGUGAGUUAAUACACAUGCCAAUAAACUGUUGCCUGAUAAACCGUAUUGCUUGUACUCAACUUACAGACUUGUGUGGGAAAAUUGAAAUAGAAGGAAAGCAUUGAGAAGAUGCCUUUUAUCUUGUCAGUUUCCUCUCACCUAUUGAACUUUGUAUAUACCAGGAUAGGUUUUGUAAGAUGAUUUGUAGGCUUGCAGGACUUGGCUUACUUUCAGUGGGUAGGAGUCACUCAUGUGUUUUUCCUUUGUAGUCUCGAAGAUAUGACUCCAGGACCACUAUAUUUUCUCCAGAAGGUAAAAUAGAAAUUGUUUAAUCUGCCUCAAGUUUAAAAAUAGAUGUGUUAGACUUUUAGAAAAAAAAAUUACAAACUAUUUUUGGUAGUUGCAGAGUUCAUCUUUUUUGUACUUUGAAGCAAUUAUGGUCACCAGGUUGGUUAUACCAUAGAAGAGUGAAAGUGGAAAUUUGUUUCUAGCUUGCUUCAUUGCUGAUUUCUUUUGGGCCGGUGGUGCAAGAGCACAGAGGAGAGUCUUGGCUUCUCACUGCUUUUGUUUUGUAGGUCGCUUAUACCAAGUUGAAUAUGCCAUGGAAGCUAUUGGACAUGCAGGCACCUGUUUGGGAAUUUUAGCAAAUGAUGGUGUUUUGCUUGCAGCAGAGAGACGCAACAUCCACAAGCUUCUUGAUGAAGUCUUUUUUUCUGAAAAAAUUUAUAAACUCAAUGAGGACAUGGCUUGCAGUGUGGCAGGCAUAACUUCUGAUGCUAAUGUUCUGACUAAUGAACUAAGGCUCAUUGCUCAAAGUAUUUAUUACAGUAUCAGGAGCCAAUACCUUGUGAGCAGUUGGUUACAGCACUGUGUGAUAUCAAACAAGCUUAUACACAAUUUGGAGGAAAACGUCCCUUUGGUGUUUCAUUGCUGUACAUUGGCUGGGAUAAGCACUAUGGCUUUCAGCUCUAUCAGAGUGACCCUAGUGGAAAUUACGGGGGAUGGAAGGCCACAUGCAUUGGAAAUAAUAGCGCUGCAGCUGUGUCAAUGUUGAAACAAGACUACAAAGAAGGAGAAAUGACCUUGAAGUCAGCACUUGCUUUAGCUAUCAAAGUACUAAAUAAGACCAUGGAUGUUAGUAAACUCUCUGCUGAAAAAGUGGAAAUUGCAACACUAACAAGAGAGAAUGGAAAGACGGUAAUCAGAGUUCUCAAACAAAAAGAAGUGGAGCAGUUGAUCAAAAAACACGAGGAAGAAGAAGCCAAAGCUGAGCGUG